Molecule: long non-coding RNA, 638 nt
Filed under: Fukomys damarensis (Damara mole-rat)
Lineage: Eukaryota; Metazoa; Chordata; Mammalia; Rodentia; Bathyergidae
Description: lncRNA (ENSFDAG00000033113.1)
Source: RNAcentral
GUCACAGCAAGCUAACUGUAAUACAAUUCUGUUCUCAUUGCCACUCCUGUGCUCUGAGCCAUCUGCGCCUUCUCACUGCCAGCUGGAUAGCUUCAGCUGGGAAGCCAGGUGAACCAUCUCCACCUGCUUGGCAAGGUUCUCUCCAUCCGCUGCUGAGGUGGAGGCAUUUCCUUGUUUGCAUGCCUGGCACCACCCUUCCCUCUUGGCUUCUCCUACCACCUCCUUGACCACGCCUUGCCUAUUUCUCUUUAUCCAGAUCCUCCCCGGUCCAACUUGACACCGUGCUGCCUUUGAUGACCACCCCAGUCCUUCCCAGUCUCCUUUCUUUCUCCUGGAAUCUCUGUGUGUGCAUAACAUGUGGAUACUUGAGCUGUGACCUGUUGCAUCCAACAGCUGAGAUGUACCACUCUCCAAACUCAGCACUGUGAGGAAGUACCGCUUAAGACCGACCCGAGAAGCUCUGGGACAGAGGUCCCAAGGUCAUGGCUCACAUCAAGGUUAAAUGCCAGGUCCCUCUCUUAGUCCUUUCAGCAACAGAGUCCAGGGCAAACCCUCCACAGACGUCACAGCUGUGAUUUUACUGAAAUUUUAACAAAGCGGCAGCCUGCACUGGAGAAUGUCAGCAUGAGAAAAGGGAC